AUUUGAUAAUGUGGACAUUGUAUUUGUAACUCCCCAAAUCUUUCCUAAGCUUCGAAGAAUUCUUCCGUAUUUUUUGUCCUAAAGUUUGAAUUUUGUUUCUUAAAUC
RNAcentral lists this small nucleolar RNA (106 nucleotides) under Thalictrum thalictroides. Its description in RNAcentral is "Plant small nucleolar RNA R71". It matches the Rfam family "Plant small nucleolar RNA R71". From Rfam's summary of the family: R71 is a member of the C/D box family of snoRNAs containing the C (UGAUGA) and D (CUGA) box motifs. The record is from Rfam by way of RNAcentral. Lineage: Eukaryota; Viridiplantae; Streptophyta; Magnoliopsida; Ranunculales; Ranunculaceae.